GAGUUACACGGCAUAGGUGUGCAGUUCCCCAGAGUUACACGGCAUAGGUGUGCAGUUCCCCAGAGUUACACGGCAUAGGUGUGCAGUUCCCCAGAGUUACACGGCAUAGGUGUGCAGUUCCCCAGAGUUACACGGCAUAGGUGUGCAGUUCCCCAGAGUUACACGGCAUAGGUGUGCAGUUCCCCAGAGUUACACGGCAUAGGUGUGCAGUUCCCCAGAGUUACACGGCAUAGGUGUGCAGUUCCCCAGAGUUACACGGCAUAGGUGUGCAGUUCCCCAGAGUUACACGGCAUAGGUGUGCAGUUCCCCAGAGUUACACGGCAUAGGUGUGCAGUUCCCCAGAGUUACACGGCAUAGGUGUGCAGUUCCCCAGAGUUACACGGCAUAGGUGUGCAGUUCCCCAGAGUUACACGGCAUAGGUGUGCAGUUCCCCAGAGUUACACGGCAUAGGUGUGCAGUUCCCCAGAGUUACACGGCAUAGGUGUGCAGUUCCCCAGAGUUACACGGCAUAGGUGUGCAGUUCCCCAGAGUUACACGGCAUAGGUGUGCAGUUCCCCAGAGUUACACGGCAUAGGUGUGCAGUUCCCCAGAGUUACACGGCAUAGGUGUGCAGUUCCCCAGAGUUACACGGCAUAGGUGUGCAGUUCCCCAGAGUUACACGGCAUAGGUGUGCAGUUCCCCAGAGUUACACGGCAUAGGUGUGCAGUUCCCCAGAGUUACACGGCAUAGGUGUGCAGUUCCCCAGAGUUACACGGCAUAGGUGUGCAGUUCCCCAGAGUUACACGGCAUAGGUGUGCAGUUCCCCAGAGUUACACGGCAUAGGUGUGCAGUUCCCCAGAGUUACACGGCAUAGGUGUGCAGUUCCCCAGAGUUA
Long non-coding RNA from Apodemus sylvaticus (European woodmouse), 874 nucleotides. RefSeq lists it as uncharacterized. The transcript is spliced from 4 exons. The record is from RefSeq and is a predicted model, not a curated record. NCBI's taxonomy places the organism in Eukaryota, Metazoa, Chordata, Mammalia, Rodentia, Muridae.